CAGCCGUAAACUAUGCGCGUUAGGUGUAUCGGUGACCACGAGUUACCGAGGUGCCGAAGGGAAACCGUGAAACGUGCCGCCUGGGAAGUACGGUCGCAAGGCUGGAACUUAAAGGAAUUGGCGGGGGAGCACCACAACAGGUGGAGCCUGCGGUUUAAUUGGACUCAACGCCGGGAAGCUCACCGGAUAGGACAGCAGAAUGAUUGCCGGGCUGAAGACUCUGCAUGACUAGCUGAGAGGAGGUGCAUGGCGUAGACGUCU
This 261-nucleotide ribosomal RNA is filed under the name uncultured archaeon. RNAcentral's name for it is "partial 16S ribosomal RNA". It matches the Rfam family "Archaeal small subunit ribosomal RNA", at positions 748 to 1009 of the family's 1478-position model. The record is from RNAcentral.